CACGUAGGGGGCAAGCGUUGUCCGGAUUUAUUGGGCGUAAAGAGCUCGUAGGCGGUUUCGUAAGUCGGGUGGGAAAACUUCAGGCUCAACCUGGAGACGCCACCCGAUACUGCGAUGACUAGAGUCCGGUAGGGGAGUGUGGAAUUCCUGGUGUAGCGGUGAAAUGCGCAGAUAUCAGGAGGAACACCAACGGCGAAGGCAGCACUCUGGGCCGGAACUGACGCUGAGGAGCGAAAGCGUGGGUAGCGAACAGG
Molecule: ribosomal RNA, 254 nt
Filed under: uncultured bacterium
Lineage: Bacteria
Description: partial 16S ribosomal RNA
Rfam family: Bacterial small subunit ribosomal RNA
Source: RNAcentral